UUUUAAAGGGAUUAAUGGCUUUUUUUGUGCGUUUGAUUCUGGCGCAAUAUAAACGUUAUCCGAACACUUAAAACAUGCUAAUAAAACAAAAAGUCUUUUUUGUUGUGUUUGGAGAGUAAUAUAAAAGUAAUUAUUCAUUAAAUAUACGAAAAAACGUAUCGAAACAAAAAAUUUCGAAUAAGGUUGACCAUUUUGUGUUUAACUUUUAUAAGAUUAGAUAGUUGAUUAGCCUUAAUUUUUCAAGUCAACGAUCUUUAGCAGUCUUUUUCGAUUCUUCUGCCUCAAUAGCAGUUGCUAUAUUUCUUUUAGGAAUCAGCAGUUAGGAAUCUUGAACAAUAAAAUAACUUUUGAUUCAGUGAUUCGGAUUAGAGCCUUAUUGCGUGUUUGUAUUUUGGUCUACUAAAAAGAAAAAAUUGAUUUCAAACAAGUUUUCUUUUAAGUAGUACUUAUACUACUACUUAUUGUAAAACUUAAAAAUUAAUGCUGAUAAAUCUGGUGCCAGAAGUCUCGGUAAUGCCUGAAGCAUGAACGUUAUAUCAAUUAUUAGAUUUAAAUAGUAAAAAGGAAGAGUCACAAGCUUUUAAAUAAAAUCCAGUUCGUGGGAUUAUGAAAAGAAACUAAGAUUCUUUAAUGUUAUUUCAGAAGUUAGAAUAAAAAAGGUAACGUUAAUAUGUUUCAAUUAUUUUUAGAAUUUCAAAGGUUAAUGCAAUCUUCUCGAUAAAAGCAUCAAUUCUUUGGUUACGAAAGCUUAAGUAUCAAAAGGAAUUAGAGACUCCUGUAGUUUAAGCCGUCAAUAAAAAUCGUAUUUUUCAUACUCGUUUUUGAUAAAAGAAUAAAGGUAAUUCGAUUAAUCUAAAAAGUAUUAUCGCAAGAUUGAAAUUUAAAGAAUCAGACGAGAAAGAAGCUCGCCCGUGGAUCGUGCUAUUUAAUUCGAUAAAACGCGCAAAUCUUACCAAAACUUGUAAUUUAAUCACGUAUUAGAUAACUUUUAUUUUUCGUUUAAACAGUUGUUGCAUGGUUGUCGUCAGUUCUUAUUUUGUAAUAUUCAGUUAAUUCUGUUAAAGGACGAAACUUUUAUUUUAAGGUAAAUAAAUUCCUAAAAAGAUGUUUUGAUAAAAAACACGAAAAAAAAUGACUUCUAAAUCCUUAUGAUGCUCAUGUUUUGGGCUUUGAAUGCGAUACAAUGUAAGUAAACAAAACAUUAAAAUCUAUUUAAAAUUUGAAAUUUAAAUAUAAAAUCUUACUUUGUUCAGAUUGUUUUUUGAAACUCAAAAACAUAAAGAAGGAAUGGACAGUAAUGGCUAGUUAUUCAGCGGUCAUGAAACUUUUUAUUUCUUUCUAUACUUUUCGCCCGUCGCUUCUUGAAAUUAAACUCUAAUAAGCUGAAAAAAACGAUAAAGUUUAGUUAUUAUUACUGUUUAAAAGCUUUAAAAAAUUUUUUAUACAUUAGUUUUUGAAAUUAUGAAUAAGUCGUAACAAAGUAAUCGUAGAUGAAUCUGCGGUUGGAAUAAG
Molecule: ribosomal RNA, 1512 nt
Filed under: Phaeocystis antarctica
Lineage: Eukaryota; Haptophyta; Phaeocystales; Phaeocystaceae
Description: small subunit ribosomal RNA
Rfam family: Bacterial small subunit ribosomal RNA
Source: RNAcentral